UACAGAGGGUGCAAGCGUUAAUCGGAUUUAUUGGGCGUAAAGAGCUCGUAGGCGGUUCGGUAAGUCGGGUGUGAAACCUCCAGGCUCAACCUGGAGACGCCACCUGAUACUGCUGUGACUCGAGUCCGGUAGGGGAGCGUGGAAUUCCUGGUGUAGCGGUGAAAUGCGCAGAUAUCAGGAGGAACACCAGCGGCGAAGGCGGCGCUCUGGGCCGGAACUGACGCUGAGGAGCGAAAGCGUGGGUAGCAAACAGG
This 254-nucleotide ribosomal RNA is filed under the name uncultured bacterium. RNAcentral's name for it is "partial 16S ribosomal RNA". It matches the Rfam family "Bacterial small subunit ribosomal RNA", at positions 524 to 776 of the family's 1533-position model. The record is from RNAcentral.